ACGAAACACAUGGAAAGGCUCGUUGAGAAAUUGAUUUUUUAAAAAUGUAUGGGUAGGAGUACAUUUCGAUUUCGUGUAUUAUAUUCGUGUUCUGACUUAGCUGGUUCUGAGUUACAGAAAUGAAAUCUGACGUUUACACACAGGAAAGUUUACUACAAUUUGAUGGAAAGGUGCAGCUCCGGAUUUAUUGCAACUGAAGGUGAUACGUUUAGUUUUUUCCGAAUUGACAGUAAACAGUUUUUGGCAAAACCAGUCAUUUAUGAGAAUAAAAUCUUUUUCCACCA
Leptinotarsa decemlineata (Colorado potato beetle) is the source of this 284-nucleotide long non-coding RNA. The record is from RefSeq and is a predicted model, not a curated record. NCBI's taxonomy places the organism in Eukaryota, Metazoa, Arthropoda, Insecta, Coleoptera, Chrysomelidae.